GAGAACAGAACAGAACAGAACAGAACAGAACAGAACAGAACAGAACAGAACAGAACAGAACAGAACAGAAGUGUGUCACUGCUAGAGAGGGUUCAGGGAUCACUAAGGAUGUUGGUUACUCAAGUAGAGAGAUAGAAGUGGCUGUCAGGCAGGGGCAUGCAGGGAUACACUCUUCCUCUAGCUCAAUCCAUGGAAGGGCUUGCUCCAUGCUUCCAGCCAAGAAUGUGAGGAGGAACUAGAAGCCACCUCUCCAGGACUGGAGAAGAUAGAGACCCAGAUUCGAGGUGGUUCAGCUGGCCUCCUUGCCUUGGCUCUGGUUUGGUUGGAAGUCAAACCAGUUUCAGGAGCAAUGUGACUACAAACCCUACAAGAGUUGAAAAACUGGAAAUGAUAUUGAUGCAGAAAAAAAUACGGAUCUUCCACAAAAAUGGUUCUUCCUCUGCAACAGUCAUCAGGCUUCUCCUCACUCUUCCUGAGAGAGAGAGAGAGAGAGUGUGUGUGUGUGUGUGUGUGUAUGAAUGUGUCUGAGUAUAAGUGUGUGCAUGUAUGUGUGUGUGUG
Molecule: long non-coding RNA, 559 nt
Filed under: Rattus norvegicus (Norway rat)
Lineage: Eukaryota; Metazoa; Chordata; Mammalia; Rodentia; Muridae
Description: long non-coding RNA NONRATT032992
Source: RNAcentral